GAAUCUUCCGCAAUGCGCGCAAGCGUGACGGAGCAAUGCCGCGUGCAGGAUGAAGCCCUUCGGGGUGUAAACUGCUGUCGGAGCUUAGGAAGCAAGUGACCAAGCUCGAAGGAAGAGACGACUAACUCUGUGCCAGCAGUCGCGGUAAUACAGAGGUCUCGAGCGUUCAACGGAUUCAUUGGGCUUAAAGCGUACGUAGGCGGAUCUGCAGGCGUCGUGUGAAAGCCCUCGGCUCAACCGAGGAAUUGCAUGGCGAACCGCAGGUCUUGAGACAAGUAGGGGCGGUCGGAACGAUAGGUGGAGUGGUGAAAUGCGUUGAUAUCUAUCGGAAUGCCGAAGGUGAAAGCAGGCCGCUGGGCUUGUUCUGACGCUGAGGUACGAAAGCGUGGGGAGCAAACGGG
RNAcentral lists this ribosomal RNA (401 nucleotides) under uncultured bacterium. Its description in RNAcentral is "bacterial SSU rRNA". It matches the Rfam family "Bacterial small subunit ribosomal RNA", at positions 359 to 776 of the family's 1533-position model. The record is from RNAcentral.